CAGUAGCCACGGGAAUACGGAGGGUGCGAGCGUUAAUCGGAAUUACCGGGCGUAAGGCGUACGCAGGCGGUCUGUUAAGUCAGAUGUGAAAUCCCCGGGCUUAACCCGGGAACUGCAUUUGAAACUGGCAGGCUAGAGUCUCGUAGAGGGGGGUAGAAUUCCAGGUGUAGCGGUGAAAUGCGUAGAGAUCUGGAGGAAUACCGGUGGCGAAGGCGGCCCCCUGGACGAAGACUGACGCUCAGGUACGAAAGCGUGGGGAGCAAACAGGAUUAGAUACCCCAGUAGUCCCUGUCUCUUAUAC
Molecule: ribosomal RNA, 301 nt
Filed under: uncultured bacterium
Lineage: Bacteria
Description: partial 16S ribosomal RNA
Rfam family: Bacterial small subunit ribosomal RNA
Source: RNAcentral